AUUGAACGCUGGCGGCAGGCUUAACACAUGCAAGUCGAACGAGUGGCGGACGGGUGAGUAAUGCCUGGGAAUCUUGCUUAUGGAGGGGGCUAACUACGGGAAACUGUAGCUAAUACCGCGUACAUUAGGAUGCGCCCAAGUGGGAUUAGGUAGUGGGUGGGGAAAAGGCGCACCAAGCCGACGCUCUCUAGCUGGUCUGAGAGGAUGACCAGCCACAAUGGGACUGAGACACGGCCCAGACUCCUACGGGAGGGAGCAGUGGGGAAUAUUGGGCAAUGGGGGCAACCUGACGCAGCCAUGCCGCGUGAAUGAAGAAGGCCUUAGGGUUGUAAAGUUCUUUCGGUAGGGAGGCGUUAACUACAGAAGAAGCACCGGCUAACUCCGUGCCAGCAGCCGCGGUAAUAC
RNAcentral lists this ribosomal RNA (405 nucleotides) under uncultured bacterium. RNAcentral describes it as "partial 16S ribosomal RNA". It matches the Rfam family "Bacterial small subunit ribosomal RNA", at positions 30 to 526 of the family's 1533-position model. The record is from RNAcentral.